GCUGAUGUGGCUCAACGGUAGAGCAACUGACUUGUAAUCAGUAGGUUGUAGGUUCGAUUCCUAUCAUCAGCACCA
This 75-nucleotide transfer RNA is filed under the name Spiroplasma sp. TIUS-1. Its description in RNAcentral is "tRNA-Thr". It matches the Rfam family "tRNA". Rfam says of the family: Transfer RNA (tRNA) molecules are approximately 80 nucleotides in length. Lineage: Bacteria; Bacillati; Mycoplasmatota; Mollicutes; Entomoplasmatales; Spiroplasmataceae. The record is from RNAcentral.